CAGCACUUGAUAAGGCAGGUGAAUGGAGAUGAGAGGGAAACUAAAUCAGCCCAGAUUGAAUGGUGAACUAGACUCGAUGGGCUGAAUGGCCUAAUU
This is a long non-coding RNA of Amblyraja radiata (thorny skate), 96 nucleotides long. RefSeq lists it as uncharacterized. Lineage: Eukaryota; Metazoa; Chordata; Chondrichthyes; Rajiformes; Rajidae. The transcript is spliced from 3 exons. The record is from RefSeq and is a predicted model, not a curated record.